Long non-coding RNA from Bactrocera neohumeralis, 2615 nucleotides. RefSeq lists it as uncharacterized. The transcript is spliced from 2 exons. The record is from RefSeq and is a predicted model, not a curated record. NCBI's taxonomy places the organism in Eukaryota, Metazoa, Arthropoda, Insecta, Diptera, Tephritidae.
CAAAGGAAAGAAAGAAUUUCAGCGUGUACUUGUACAGACUCCUUCAGACACACAACUUCCCUGAGAAUAAGAGCACCCUUCGAGGUCAUACACCUACUGGCGAUUUCUGUAGUCUCUUCGUACGCCUUCCAAAAGAUGAAUACACAGUACGACAUUAUUAGCUUGACUACGGUUUCGUAGAUCCAAAACACUACCUUUUAAUGAGAGUCUCUACCUAUAUCUCUUUGUAAAUAAAACCAUUUCAGUUUUAAUUUGGUAUUAACCUUUCGAGAUAUAUUUGCACUGCCCCACUCUGCUACGACAAUUCUGUCGCAAAGAAGAUUUUAUAUGAAAUGCUUAAUGUUUGAUCCCACCCCAAAGCUUUCGAGGGUCUGAAUCACCGCCUCCAGCCACACAUUAUUGACAGCCCCCUCGAUCUCGAGAAAGAUGUCUACAGCGAAUUCCCUAUAAUCCUAAUGAAACUCUCCUAAGGCACUUAUUCAACGGAAUGUCAGCAUCCAGGAGUAGUUUCAACAACUGUGGAGUGGGACUCUUCGCUAGAAUGCGCGUCAGACGUGAGGACUCGUAGUUGUGGCAGCGCUUCACACUUCCGCAGAAGGCUCGGAUUUGUUUAAAGUCAGCCUUGUGUUAUACAGCGCCCAUUCGUCGCAAGAACCGCACUGUGGGCUUUGUUGAAGUCUUCUGCUGCUCCAAAGAGGUGUCCCUUUGUCCUUCUGAGUUUUCAGAUAACGAAAGCUUUCUACGGUAGUCUUACACACAGAGCUGAAAACCGCGACGAACUCAUCAAUCACGCCCGCCUUGUUCUUGUCGGGCGCUGUUUUAAAAGCUGAUCGAAGCUUCCUGAAAUAAAAGUCCCAUAUUCCGAUUGGUAUUCCUGAAGUUUAUAUAAGUUUUGCGCUCUGGGCGCUUCGCAUCCAAGUUAAAAGAAAGAACUGUCGUCUAGAACCUUCCAUGCAAAGAUCAAAUGAGCAGUUUCUCAAGAGACUAGCGUAACGUCAAGAGCCUCCGCUCUGUUAGCAGUAACUCAAAUUAGGAAGUUUCCCCUAUUACAUGUAGAGAGGUUUUCACUACAUACGAGUACAAAAUCGAAAAGUGACUGAUCUCUUGUUUUUGUUUCGGAGAUUCCUCCGACAGUGUGCCUAGAAUUGGCAACCGUGCCGUUUAUUACGCCGGCUCUUCUGGGCUUGGUCUCUGCCUGAGCUCUUCUCAGCAAAUCCGGGGAUGGUGCGGCACAUAGGCCAAGACAAGCCAGUGUUUUCCGGUACUGUCUUUUAGCCUAGCGCUGACGACAUAUUCGUUGCUGAAAUUGGGUAAAAGGAAAACAGUAAGGCUGUUUCUGGCCAACAAACAAGCUCUGGUGAUACGUGUAUUACCUACUGCCUGGAGUGGUGGCUCUUUGUCCUUAAUUCAGAGAUGCCAUUGCUGCUUAGCCAUAGCUUUCAGAUAAGGAAAAUAUCGGCUUCGUCUCGUCCUAAACGCAGCGGGAGAUCGAUGGAGACCGCCUUUGCGUGCUGGAGAUUAACUUAAAGGAUCUUCAUCCUACAAACUCUUCUUCAGGAUUUAAAGGAUCUUCAUCCUAUCAGUCUUCUCCAGCAAUAAUGCGAGUUUCGCACCAUGGUCUUUACCGAACCGAUGCUCUUGCAAACGCUCGAGACUAAAAGUGGAUCCAUAAACAGGCGAUUCGAACUCCUUACUUAUCCGAGUGAAUAGAGACGACUUCCUUUUUGGCACCUUAUACUUUUUGCUCUGGCCUCACUGAAGGCAGCGUAGUAUCCUAAGGAUGACCUUCUGCAAGCCAUAGCUUAUGGCCUUUUUUUGUGGGAAGAAAAGGAUUGCAACAGCGCAAUAUCUCUUCGAUUUCUUCCGGGUUGGAAGGUUCGGCGGUUUUUCUACUAUUGGAGUUUCUUCUGGGGUAGUUUUUGUCGUGAUCACCGGUGAUACAUUGGCAGCCAACAUGUCAAAGUCUAUAGGUAAGUUAAUACUUUGUAUGUGCAUCUUUGCCUCUAUUAUGGUUUGCAGCCUUUUAUUCAUAGAUUGCACCAAAAUUUCCUGUUAACUCUGCGCUCUCAUAACUUCGUGUCUCCUUAUCCCAUAGAUGUUCAACCACGUUUUGACGUUGUACAACAACCGUUCCUUUACUACUACUGAUUCUGGUCAUCAUCCUAAAUAAAGCAGUAGCCGCCCUUUAAGGGGCUAUACCAGCGUAACACUUUCAAAAAAAUUCUUUGCUUUUUCGAUAGUUUAUAUGUAUGUAUAUUCAAAAAUAUCCUGUGAAAUCGGCAAGGUCGUAUCUUGAAUAGUUUUUGAAUGGCAACGUUCUAAACAGCGACCGCUCAGAGGGGCAAACAUAUGUAUGUAUGAAACUUUAAACGCGUUUUUCUCGAAACGACAUUUUUCAAAAUUGCUGACAUCAUAACUCAACGAGAAAUUGACCGAUCGACUUCAAAUUAAAACUACUCAUUCGACCGGAAUGAUGCCAGCAGUUCAAGCACUUUUUUUCGGCACUUCCGCAGACAGCACAUAACUCCGUUAUUUUCCAAUAUUUUUGUAAAAAAAAAAUUUUAACAUAGCUAAAAAUAUACUUUAUUACGUCCAUAGAACGUCGAAACAUUCAA